Molecule: non-coding RNA, 70 nt
Organism: Podarcis lilfordi (Lilford's wall lizard)
Lineage: Eukaryota; Metazoa; Chordata; Lepidosauria; Squamata; Lacertidae
Source: the annotation of a GenBank genome assembly
GGAGGUAGCUCAGUGGCAGAGCACCUGCCUUGCAAGCAGAAGGUCCCCGGUUCAAUCCCCAGCAUCUCCA